AACGAACGCUGGCGGCAUGCCUAACACAUGCAAGUCGAACGAGACCUUCGGGUCUAGUGGCGCACGGGUGCGUAACGCGUGGGAACCUGCCCUUAGGUUCGGAAUAACUCCCCGAAAGGGGCGCUAAUACCGGAUAAUGUCUUCGGACCAAAGAUUUAUCGCCUUUGGAUGGGCCCGCGUUGGAUUAGCUAGUUGGUAGGGUAAAAGCCUACCAAGGCGACGAUCCAUAGCUGGUCUGAGAGGAUGAUCAGCCACACUGGGACUGAGACACGGCCCAGGCUCCUACGGGAGGCAGCAGUGGGGAAUAUUGGACAAUGGGCGAAAGCCUGAUCCAGCAAUGCCGCGUGAGUGAUGAAGGCCUUAGGGUUGUAAAGCUCUUUUACCCGGGAUGAUAAUGACAGUACCGGGAGAAUAAGCUCCGGCUAACUCCGUG
RNAcentral lists this ribosomal RNA (433 nucleotides) under uncultured bacterium. RNAcentral's name for it is "partial 16S ribosomal RNA". It matches the Rfam family "Bacterial small subunit ribosomal RNA", at positions 29 to 507 of the family's 1533-position model. The record is from RNAcentral.